AGGGAAUUAGUGGCGAACGGGUGAGUAACACGUGAGUAACCUGCCCUUGACUCUGGGAUAACCUCCGGAAACGGAAGCUAAUACCGGAUAUGACGCACGGAGGCAUCUCCUGUGCGUGGAAAGAACUUCGGUCAAGGAUGGACUCGCGGCCUAUCAGGUAGUUGGUGAGGUAACGGCUCACCAAGCCUACGACGGGUAGCCGGCCUGAGAGGGUGACCGGCCACACUGGGACUGAGACACGGCCCAG
This 247-nucleotide ribosomal RNA is filed under the name uncultured bacterium. RNAcentral's name for it is "partial 16S ribosomal RNA". It matches the Rfam family "Bacterial small subunit ribosomal RNA", at positions 86 to 334 of the family's 1533-position model. The record is from RNAcentral.